GAUGAAGAACGUAGCGAAAUGCGAUAAGUAAUGCGAAUUGCAGAAUCCGUGAAUCAUCGAAUCUUUGAACGCACAUUGCGCCCGCCAGUAUUCUGGCGGGCAUGCCUGUCUGAGCGUCAUUUCAACCCUCAUGCCCCUAGGGCGUGGUGUUGGGGAUCGGCCAAAGCCCGCGAGGGACGGCCGGCCCCUAAAUCUAGUGGCGGACCCGUCGUGGCCUCCUCUGCGAAGUAGUGAUAUUCCGCAUCGGAGAGCGAUGAGCCCCUGCCGUUAAACCCCCAACUUUCCAAGGUUGACCUCAGAUCAGGUAGGAAUACCCGCUGAACUUAAGCAUAUCAAUAAGCGGAGGA
RNAcentral lists this unclassified non-coding RNA (347 nucleotides) under soil metagenome. Its description in RNAcentral is "partial contains 5.8S ribosomal RNA, internal transcribed spacer 2, and large subunit ribosomal RNA". The stretch from base 1 to 119 matches the Rfam family "5.8S ribosomal RNA", at positions 35 to 154 of the family's 154-position model. The record is from RNAcentral.